RNAcentral lists this ribosomal RNA (440 nucleotides) under uncultured bacterium. RNAcentral's name for it is "bacterial SSU rRNA". It matches the Rfam family "Bacterial small subunit ribosomal RNA", at positions 338 to 795 of the family's 1533-position model. The record is from RNAcentral.
CCUACGGGGGGCAGCAGUGGGGAAUAUUGCACAAUGGGCGAAAGCCUGAUGCAGCAACGCCGCGUGAGCGAUGAAGGCCUUCGGGUCGUAAAGCUCUGUCCUAAGGGAAGAAGUUUGACGGUACCUUAGGAGGAAGCCCCGGCUAACUACGUGCCAGCAGCCGCGGUAAUACGUAGGGGGCGAGCGUUAUCCGGAAUCACUGGGCGUAAAGGGUGCGUAGGCGGCCAAUAAAGUCUGGGGUGAAAGGCUACGGCUCAACUGUAGUAAGCCUUUGAAACUGUAGGGCUUGAGUGCAGGAGAGGAGAGUGGAAUUCCCAGUGUAGCGGUGAAAUGCGUGGAUAUUGGGAGGAACACCAGUUGCGAAGGCGACUCUCUGGACUGUAACUGACGCUGAGGCACGAAAGCGUGGGGAGCGAACAGGAUUAGAUACCCGAGUAGUC